AAGUCGUAACAAGGUCUCCGUUGGUGAACCAGCGGAGGGAUCAUUAAAGAGUUGCAAAACUCCCACAAACCAUCGCGAACGUUACCCCAUUACCGUUGCUUCGGCGGACGGGGCCUCCCUUCCAGGGGGCCCUCCCGCCGGAGGGACAUAACCUAACUCUUAUUAUUAUUGGCCUCUCUGAGUAUGAUUUACAAAUAAGUCAAAACUUUCAACAACGGAUCUCUUGGUUCUG
RNAcentral lists this unclassified non-coding RNA (232 nucleotides) under Pseudorhypophila marina. RNAcentral's name for it is "Zopfiella marina partial internal transcribed spacer region". The stretch from base 1 to 46 matches the Rfam family "Eukaryotic small subunit ribosomal RNA", at positions 1786 to 1831 of the family's 1831-position model. The record is from RNAcentral. RNAcentral also lists the same sequence under 1 other name. Lineage: Eukaryota; Fungi; Ascomycota; Sordariomycetes; Sordariales; Naviculisporaceae.